GGGCCGUGAUGAAGAAAACUGUGCCGGAGUGAGUCAUCUUUUGUCUCGCGAUGAUGGCGCAAUCCUCUAAGAAGUUCUGAGCUC
Molecule: small nucleolar RNA, 84 nt
Organism: Lathyrus oleraceus (garden pea)
Lineage: Eukaryota; Viridiplantae; Streptophyta; Magnoliopsida; Fabales; Fabaceae
Product: small nucleolar RNA U61
Exons: 1
Source: RefSeq, a predicted model, not a curated record